This 6703-nucleotide long non-coding RNA is filed under the name Citrus x clementina. Its description in RNAcentral is "Citrus clementina (C. clementina) long non-coding RNA (CCLE_LNC002657)". Lineage: Eukaryota; Viridiplantae; Streptophyta; Magnoliopsida; Sapindales; Rutaceae. The record is from RNAcentral.
AGAGAGCAUAAUUUAGUUGACACACAAUAAUUUUUUUAUUUAUUUCCUCUCCUGGGAAACAUGGUACACGUAAAUAGACAAAGAAAAUCUUUUGUAUAUCUCAAGAGAUCAUAUCAAUUGAACAUAAACGAACUAACACUUGCUUGAUUGAUAGGUAAAGCAGUACCCAUAUUUUUAUUCAAUUAAACACAACAGAAAAGAAUAACAUUUUAAUUAACCAGUGCGGUCGGCAUUUCUCCCAUAUUGAGGGACAACAAGAAAAUCCAGAUCCUCAUUCGCAAUGCCACCAUCUGAAAUGCUGAGAAGAGGAAAUAGUGCAACGACCCCCUCCGACCAACUGUUAUCUCCUGAAAAUUUAUAAUAGAAAACUUAGUCGUGAGUAACAUUUCAAAAUUAUAAGAAUCGUAAUUCAACUGAAAAUGGCCUAAAAACCUGCGCAAGUAGUUUCCAUAUUCUUCAAAUCGAAAAGAUCUCUGCUUCGGUAGUCAAAACUCAAGAAGUAGUCAAGUUGCUUCUGCGAGUUUUUGCUAUUUGGGAAAUACACAUAUAUGGUCUAUAUAUAGAUAGACUGAAGUAGCCGACGAUAGUGCCAAGGUGGGUGAUUGGGGCGUAUUUAAUUAUUUACAAGACGACCUAACAACAUUACAUAAUACCGUCUUUUCUUUGAAAAUGCUCUGUUGUUUUCUGAAACAUUUUUUAAUGGCUCAGAAGCAUCUCAUGGCAGAUAAUUGAAGAUCUGUAGUCGGUGCUGGACUCGACAAACAUAGUCCUUUACUUUGCUGGCAAUAUAUAUAGUCUAUGCCAUAAUUCAUAAUAUGUAAAUAUAUAGAUUCAAGCAGAUGCCAGAUCAACGGCUGAUGCGUAGAUUAGUAGAAAACACGAGGGAGCUAGCUAAGAUCAUGGACAGCUAACACAAAUCGUUCAAGGUCAGCAUCAAAAUUAAGGUUACAGUUAGAAUUGAUACCUUUUUAUAUUAAUUAAUACGGAAAUACAAUCUCUUUCGAUAUCACUUCACGUGAUUCUCGCAAUCCAAAGUCAAAUAUCAUAAUAUAUUUGAUGUUAUCAAAUUUCUAAUUUAUGACAUUGUCACUGUUGGCGACUUGAAUUUAUAUAUUUAUUAUAUAUAUUAUGUUGUACACAUAUUUGUACAAAAUUGGACCCAAUGGCAUAAACAAAUGGGCAGCGGUGAUACCACCUUCACCGCUGCUAGAAAGCAGCCAAAAACAGCCACACGAAGCUGAAGUUUCUAGCGCAAAAGGUCACCACAAUUGGCGCGAACUGCUGGAUUUCAAACCCGGUACCACCAGGAAUUUUCUCCUCACGGUAGUGGCCGGCGAGCCUCAAGCUCCUUGUUCUCGAUCUUGUAAUGCGUAUUUCAGCCUCAUACUCGUAGGCCUCAAUUUUAUAAUACGAACCACAGCCUCAUGCUCAUAGGGCUCAUUUAUAUGUAAUACAUAUCUCGAUCUCUUGUGCCCAUAUUUUUAUCUUUCUUUAAUCAAAACAUCAAUAAAAACUACUUAACGCACCCAAAUUUUUGAAAAAAAAAAUAGGACAUAUACACUUACUAGUCGAGAAAAAUCAGUUUUUAAAUUUUAAAAAAAAACUUUUAGGACCGAUCUCAUACAAUACAUAAGAAUUCAUAAUCUGAAAAACCAUACCUUGACAAUCCGUUUUGACUUUUCGCUGAAUUAAUCUAGGCUCCCAGGUCAUGAUCCGUCACCACCACUUAUGUUAGAUCACGAUCCGUCACCACCAAUCUUGUUAGAUCACGAUCCGUCACCAAUGAUCCUCCAGGUUGUGACUCAAGUUUGAUCUGCACUUGACGUGUGGGUGCCUUAAUCACCACUAAAGCAACUAGAAAGAGAAAAUAUUCCUCUCAAAAUCAGAGAGAAAAAUAUUUUUUUUAUCUGUAUAAUGUGGCUGCUGCCUUCUUUUUUAGAGAAAACAAGCCCUUUUAUAUUUCUAUUUGGUGGAAACCCUAGGUUUUAUAUUUAUUAAUUUUUUUAAUUCUAUUAAAUCACAUUUGAUUUAAAUUAAAAAAUAAUAAAACUAAAAGUGGCGUUACUUGUUCUUGUGUUAUAGGGGCCCACGUUGUAAAAUAACACAAAGUCCCUUACACACAAACAUAUUAAAUGAAGCCUCCCACUAGAUAAUAUAUUUAGGCUUUUAACCCAAAUUGCUGGUUAUCUUGCUUAUUAAUCCAGUAGCGGUGCAGUCAAUUAAAUGAGCUAACCCGGAGAUCAUAUGGGUACAUACAAUAUUGGCUACAAUAAUUAGGCCUGUAAUUAAACUAGCCCAAUUAUUCAUUUCGAAAUCCACUCCACUAAAAGAUUGGAAUUGACCUCCAUAAUUGUAUGCUAUCUUGGAUAGUAUUUUUGAAUAAUAAUUUGACCCAUGCCACGUUGAUUUCUUUACUGCAUAAUCAUUUGUACCACAUCGUUAAUUAAAUCAAUAUCUCAACUGUACAAUUAAUUUAAUUACAUCUUGUUCCUUGAUACUUACUGGUUUUCUCUAAUGAUCAUUUUCAACAUACUAAAUAUGUUGACACACUCUGGCCAGAGAAUUCUAUAAUUUGACCCAUUAAGUGAUGUGUUGUACAAAUUCUAUAUUGUUAAUCUAUAACUACAAUACUCAUAAUUGCUCCCACCAAGAUACCGAGUAAUCUUGACUACAAGUGUGUGUCGUGCCCAUUGGUAACUCAAAUGGAUAACAAUUACAAUCAUGAAAUUAUAACUAAUUCAAGAUUAAGAUUACAGUAAAAUCAAUGCCUAUGAGAUUUAAUAAGUUUGACUGUUAUUACAAAGUUAAUUAAAUCUAAUAUGUGAUCUUGUUCAAUCUAGUCGUACUACAUCAAUAAAUUCAUACAUGAUUAAGACAAAUCAUUCAAUGAAUUUAUUACAGUCUAUACCUAAAUAAAGUGCUCAACUUUAUUUAUCAAAUGUGAACUAAAUUUAUUUAAUCAUAAGAUAACUUGUAUUUAUGUUUUCUGUGAAUCCACAUGGUGAUCAAAUAAAUACAUAUAAUAUGAUUAAAUGGAUUUUACUGAAAAUAUUAAUGCAAUUAAGAUACUUGAAUAAAAUACCUUAUUUAUUUUAUUAAUAAGAAAAAUUAUUUAUUACAAUUAAAUAAACACAUAUGCUUUUAAAGAGCAUAUUUCCCAACACUUACAACCAUGGUCAAGUCAAGAUAUGUAAAUAGAUUCUUUAACACAAUUUUAUUUAUAAUUAGUUUUCAUUUAAUUUAACACAAAUGUUCGAUAUUGGGAACGUGCACCAAAAAAACACUUGCGAUUGACAAAGAACGUGAUGGCAAGAAAAGAAGAAUAACGAAUAAGAAGUGGAAUAGGUUUAAGACGUCAACUUUUUUUAGUUAAUUUUUAAAAUCAGGAAAAGAAUGCUAUUUUUGCAGUACUUUUAUUUUAUUUUUUGAAAAAUUAAAAGGGUCACACGGUUCUAGUGAAAAGCUUUCAAAAUAUUGAUUUUCUUCUCGCUCAAUUAAGGUACGGUUUGAUUUUUUGAAAAAAAGAAGAAUAAAACAUGUCAUUUAGACAUUUCCAUUCAAAUUUAUUUGGACUUUAAUUAAAUUCAAAUCUAUUCAGAUAUCAGACAAAAAAAUAAAUGCAACCAAAGUAUUGUUUAAGAUACUAUAAUUUUUUUUUUUUUUAUGGUUUAAGGUGUUAGGAAAAUAUACUCUUUAAAAGCAUAUGUGUUUAUUUAAUUUUAAUAAACAAUUUUUCUGAUUAAUAAGAUAAAUGAGGUAUUUUAUUCAAGUAUCUUAAUUGCAUUAAUAUUUUGAGUAAAGUCCAUUCAAUCAUAUUAUAUGUAUUUAUGCGAUCACCAUGUGGAUUCAUAGAAGACAUAAAUGCAAGUUAUCUUAUGAUUAAAUAAAUUAAGUUUGCAGUUGAUAAAUAAAGUUGGGCACUUUAUUUAGGUAUAGACUGUAAUAAAUUUAUUGAAUGAUUUGUCUUAAUCAUGUAUGAAUUUAUUGAUGUAGUACGACUACAUUGAACAGAACCACAUAUGAGAUUUAAUUAACUUCGUAAUAACUGUAAGACUUAUUAAAACUCAUAUUCAUUGAUUUUACUGUAAUCUUAAUCUUGAGUUAGUCAUGAUUUCAUGAUUGUAAUUGUUAUUCCAUUUGAGUUACCAAUGGGCACGACAGACACUUAUAGUCAAGAUUACCCGGUAUCUUAGUGGGAGCAAUUAUGAGUAUUGGAGUUAUAGAUUAACAAUAUUGAAUUUGUACAACAUAGUGGGAGCAAUUAUGAGUAUUGAAGUUAUAGAUUAACAAUAUUGAAUUUGUACAGCACAUCACUUGAUGGGUUUUCGGCACUUGAUCAUAGAAUUCUCUUGUCUUAGUGUGUCAACAUAUUUAGUAUGGUUGAAAAUGAUCAUUAGAGAAAACCCGUAAGUAUUAAGGAACAAUAUGUAAAUAAUUUGAUUGGACAGUUGAGUUAUCCAUUUAAUUAACNNNNNNNNNNNNNNNNNNNNNNNNNNNNNNNNNNNNNNNNNNNNNNNNNNNNNNNNNNNNNNNNNNNNNNNNNNNNNNNNNNNNNNNNNNNNNNNNNNNNAAGAUAAGUAGCUAUUUGAGUUAAAAGUCUAAAUGUAUUAUUUAGUGGGAGGGUCCAUUUAAUAUGUUUGUGUGUAAGGAGCCUUGUUUUAUUUUACAAGGUGGGCCCCUAUAACACGAGAACAAGUAACGCCACUUUGGUUUUAUUGUUUUUUAAUUUAAAUCAAAUGUGAUUUAAUAGAAUUAAAAAAAAUUAAUAAAUAUGGAGUCUAUGGUUUCUACCAAAUAGAAAUAUAAAUGGCUUGUUUUCUCUAAAAAAGAAGACAGCAGUCAAAUUAUACAGAUCAGAGAAAAAUAUUUUUCUCUCUCUAAUUUUGAGAGGAACAUUUUCUCUUGCUAGUUGCUUUUAGUUGUGAUAAAGGCGUCCACACGUCAAGUGCAUAUCAAACUUGAGUCAUAACCUGGAAGAUCAUUAGUGAUGGAUCGUGAUCUAACAAGAUUGGUGGUGACGGAUCGUGAUCUAACAAGAUUGGUGGUGACGGAUCGUGAUCUAACAUGAGUGGUGGUAAUGGAUCGUGAUCUGGAAGCCUAGAUUAAUUAAGCGAAAAAGCCAAAUCGAAUUGUGAAGAUAUGAUUUUCUAGAUUACGAAUUCCUAUGUAUUGUAUGAGAUCAGUCCUAAAACGUUUUUAUAAAAUAUUUUAAAAAACUGAUUUUUCUCCAACAUAAGGCAUGAGAAAUACAUGUUAAACAAUAGGUCUGUUAUAAUAGGUGUUCAAAACAAUUAUGCUAUAUUACCUCAUAAUAAAUUGUCUUUAACCGUAAUUCACAUAACAAAAAUCUUUAUAAUAAAUUGUUUUGUUAAGAGCGCAACUAUUUGAACUCAAAAAAAAAAAAAACUCUUAACAAUGAUAAUUUUACAAUAAUUUUUAUUAUCAAAUUAUCCAUUAUGACAAUUACCAUUAUGGACCAAAAAAAGAAAACGCCGUAGUUGCUAGGAAGUGAAUGAAAAUUCUGCUUAAACUAAGUUUUGAAGAUACAGAAUCAAAUACCAAAAGCAAACAAUAGAAAGGAAAAAUGAGAAUCUCUAAGGCUUUAAGAAAAAUAGAAUCAUCGAUAUGUAUAACUAAAAAUUAAUUAAGCUGAUUUGAACUCUAUGGCAUUUAUGGAGAUGAAUGAAAAAAGCAAGAAGAAUGUUUUGCGCCUUGCAAGUACGAUAAAAAAUUAUAACGACUUUCAUGAAGGCCAGUGGAUGAAAAAGAAAUCGAUAAUUUCAUUGUAAUCCAUCCGUAAUAUAUUCAGCGGUUUGUAAUUUAAUAUUAGCAAGGUUGAUCAGAGUUAGACCCCUUAUGCUGUAACCAUUUACUAUGAUAUAAAAGGGUGUGAGAAAAGAAAAAAAAACAGUGAAUGAAGAAGAAGAAAACAAGAAGAAGAAGAAGAAGAAAAUUUAUAGGGUAAUUUAAUAUCAGGAUUAUUUUUGGAUUUUUGAAAGAUUUAUAGAGUAAAUUUUUUAUUUUUAAAUUUACAUUGCGUGUCUGUUGAGAAAAUGGGUGUGGAGAGUGAAUUUUUGGGAUCAAAUAGUUAGACCUUUUUAUUAAAAGUUUGAAAAUUUGAUUUCAAACAGUCCAAUGUCAGAUGAAUAACCAUCAUUUAAUGAUAUUGCCUAUUUUAAAAGGCUGAAGCUCUAAAUUUAUAUUGUAUAUUCAAUAAAUUAUGACCCAGGGAUCACUUGCUAACUCCAAGAAGCAGCUAAUCAAUAUGUGAAAUUUAUUUCAGAAAAUUAUCCAACAAGAGAGAGCAUAAUUUAGUUGACACAAUAAUUUUUUUAUUUAUUUCCUCUCCUGGGAAACAUGGUACACGUAAAUAGACAAAGAAAAUCUUUUGUAUAUCUCAAGAGAUCAUAUCAAUUGAACAUAAACGAACUAACACUUGCUUGAUUGAUAGGUAAAGCAGUACCCAUAUUUUUAUUCAAUUAAACACAACAGAAAAGAAUAACAUUUUAAUUAACCAGUGCGGUCGGCAUUUCUCCCAUAUUGAGGGACAACAAGAAAAUCCAGAUCCUCAUUCGCAAUGCCACCAUCUGAAAUGCUGAGAAGAGGAAAUAGUGCAACGACCCCCUCCGACCAACUGUUAUCUCCUGAAAAUUUAUAAUAGAAAACUUAGUCGUGAGUAACAUUUCAAAAUUAUAAGAAUCGU